RNAcentral lists this ribosomal RNA (484 nucleotides) under uncultured bacterium. RNAcentral's name for it is "partial 16S ribosomal RNA". It matches the Rfam family "Bacterial small subunit ribosomal RNA", at positions 30 to 507 of the family's 1533-position model. The record is from RNAcentral.
AUUGAACGCUGGCGGCAGGCCUAACACAUGCAAGUCGAGCGGAUGGAGGGAGCUUGCUCCUGGAUUCAGCGGCGGACGGGUGAGUAAUGCCUAGGAAUCUGCCUGGUCGUGGGGGAUAACGUCCGGAAACGGGCGCUAAUACCGCAUACGUCCUGAGGGAGAAAGUGGGGGAUCUUCGGACCUCACGCUAUCAGAUGAGCCUAGGUCGGAUUAGCUAGUUGGUGGGGUAAAGGCUUACCAAGGCGACGAUCCGUAACUGGUCUGAGAGGAUGAUCAGUCACACUGGAACUGAGACACGGUCCAGACUCCUACGGGAGGCAGCAGUGGGGAAUAUUGGACAAUGGGCGAAAGCCUGAUCCAGCCAUGCCGCGUGUGUGAUGAAGGUCUUCGGAUUGUAAAGCACUUUAAGUUGGGAGGAAGGGCAGUAAGUUAAUACCUUGCUGUUUUGACGUUACCAACAGAAUAAGCACCGGCUAACUUCGUG